This 450-nucleotide ribosomal RNA is filed under the name Pantoea agglomerans. RNAcentral describes it as "bacterial SSU rRNA". It matches the Rfam family "Bacterial small subunit ribosomal RNA", at positions 8 to 456 of the family's 1533-position model. The record is from RNAcentral. Lineage: Bacteria; Pseudomonadati; Pseudomonadota; Gammaproteobacteria; Enterobacterales; Erwiniaceae.
AGAGUUUGAUCCUGGCUCAGAUUGAACGCUGGCGGCAGGCCUAACACAUGCAAGUCGAACGGUAGCACAGAGAGCUUGCUCUCGGGUGACGAGUGGCGGACGGGUGAGUAAUGUCUGGGAAACUGCCUGAUGGAGGGGGAUAACUACUGGAAACGGUAGCUAAUACCGCAUAACGUCGCAAGACCAAAGAGGGGGACCUUCGGGCCUCUUGCCAUCAGAUGUGCCCAGAUGGGAUUAGCUAGUAGGUGGGGUAACGGCUCACCUAGGCGACGAUCCCUAGCUGGUCUGAGAGGAUGACCAGCCACACUGGAACUGAGACACGGUCCAGACUCCUACGGGAGGCAGCAGUGGGGAAUAUUGCACAAUGGGCGCAAGCCUGAUGCAGCCAUGCCGCGUGUAUGAAGAAGGCCUUCGGGUUGUAAAGUACUUUCAGCGGGGAGGAAGGUGUUG